GUGCUGGCUAUGCAGCACAUAUACUAAAAUUGGAAUGAUACAGAGAAGAUUAGCAUGGGCCCCUGUGCAAGGAUUACAUGCAAAUUCGUGAGGUUUUCCAUAUUAAA
Molecule: small nuclear RNA, 107 nt
Organism: Otolemur garnettii (small-eared galago)
Lineage: Eukaryota; Metazoa; Chordata; Mammalia; Primates; Galagidae
Source: Ensembl